This 501-nucleotide ribosomal RNA is filed under the name uncultured bacterium. Its description in RNAcentral is "bacterial SSU rRNA". It matches the Rfam family "Bacterial small subunit ribosomal RNA", at positions 28 to 516 of the family's 1533-position model. The record is from RNAcentral.
GAUGAACGCUAGCUACAGGCUUAACACAUGCAAGUCGAGGGGAAACGAUAUUGGAAGCUUGCUUCCGAUAGGCGUCGACCGGCGCACGGGUGAGUAACGCGUAUCCAACCUGCCCAUCACUUGGGGAUAACCUUGCGAAAGUAAGACUAAUACCCAAUGACGUCUCUAGAAGACAUCUGAAAGAGAUUAAAGAUUUAUCGGUGAUGGAUGGGGAUGCGUCUGAUUAGCUUGUUGGCGGGGUAACGGCCCACCAAGGCGACGAUCAGUAGGGGUUCUGAGAGGAAGGUCCCCCACAUUGGAACUGAGACACGGUCCAAACUCCUACGGGAGGCAGCAGUGAGGAAUAUUGGUCAAUGGACGAGAGUCUGAACCAGCCAAGUAGCGUGCAGGAUGACGGCCCUAUGGGUUGUAAACUGCUUUUAUAAGGGAAUAAAGUGAGUCUCGUGAGACUUUUUGCAUGUACCUUAUGAAUAAGGACCGGCUAAUUCCGUGCCAGCAGCC